UUUAGCCACCGUUUGGUUGCGGGGUUAAGGGGUGGAAUAACCCCUUAACCUCCAAUUUAUAUCCAAACAUCAUUCUUUUGGAAUGGGAUUAGUAAACCCAUCCCAAAUCAGAUUAGUGGGGUUUACUAACCCCACUUCCCCUCCCAACUUUAAUCCCGCACGUAUCCCGAGCUCUCACUUUUUUCUUCUUUAUCAAUCAUUAACCCCACUCCCCCUCCCAACUUUAACCCCGCACGCAUUCCGAGCUCUCACAUUUUUCUUUUUUAUCAAUUAUUAUCUUUUUAUCCCACCUAUUCCAACCAAACAUUUUUUUUCAUUAUCCUAGACUAACUCCAACCUCCAACCAAACAUAAAAAAAUUUUAACACCAUUUUAAUCCUAAACUUAACCCUAUUCCUGGAAUAACUAUUUUUUCUUAAUCCCGAACCAAACGGGGGCUUACGUUGCUGGACCAGCAACUUUAACUCCACAAUCCAAUCAAACUAGAACCAAAAAAAA
RNAcentral lists this long non-coding RNA (497 nucleotides) under Ananas comosus (pineapple). Its description in RNAcentral is "long non-coding RNA (ACOM_LNC015940)". Lineage: Eukaryota; Viridiplantae; Streptophyta; Magnoliopsida; Poales; Bromeliaceae. The record is from RNAcentral.